GAACCAAAAAAAAAAAAACGUAUUUUACAUUUAAAAAUACCUGAAGCAAUAACCACUUUGCUACGAGAAGAGUUAGGGAAUUUAACAUGAAUUUACAAGCAGAAAUCAUAUCACAAGUAAGCUAAUACAAGUUAAAGAGGUGAGAUGCAAGAAACACAUCAGCAAGCAAUUUGUGACCCACGAAGAGGAAGUUUUUACUACCAAUGAUUACAGAAUAUUUACCUGUAACAUUGCAA
RNAcentral lists this unclassified non-coding RNA (236 nucleotides) under Hevea brasiliensis (rubber tree). The record is from RNAcentral. Lineage: Eukaryota; Viridiplantae; Streptophyta; Magnoliopsida; Malpighiales; Euphorbiaceae.